Long non-coding RNA from Ailuropoda melanoleuca (giant panda), 339 nucleotides. RefSeq lists it as uncharacterized. The transcript is spliced from 3 exons. NCBI's taxonomy places the organism in Eukaryota, Metazoa, Chordata, Mammalia, Carnivora, Ursidae. The record is from RefSeq and is a predicted model, not a curated record.
GUAGAAGCUGAACCACCAAAUGUUGUGAAGUUUGCUGUAUCAUCAGGUGCUGUGAAUCAAUUUUUUAAGCUUUUUAGGGAUAUGCUGUGUUUUGUCAGUGGGAGACAUGUUUUCUGGGGAUUUUCAAUCUAAGAUACAGUAAAUCAUCUCCUAUCAACUUGCUCAAGCUCAACCUCCAGACAGGUAGCAGACAAAACCUUGACCCCUGAUUAGUGAAAAGAAUACCUUGAGAUGGAAAAGACAAAGGCCCAGCCAAGAAGGUUUUGAGGAUAUGAGCAAAUAACUUCAAAACUUGCAGAGAUCCCUGAGCAAUGUUUAUUAUAUGUUUAUUCUUUUAUC